Molecule: ribosomal RNA, 440 nt
Filed under: uncultured bacterium
Lineage: Bacteria
Description: partial 16S ribosomal RNA
Rfam family: Bacterial small subunit ribosomal RNA
Source: RNAcentral
ACUACGGGUGACAGCAGUGGGGGAUAUUGCACAAUGGGGGGAACCCUGAUGCAGCGACGCCGCGUGGGUGAAGAAGCGCCUCGGCGCGUAAAGCCCUGUCAGCAGGGAAGAAAAUGACGGUACCUGAAGAAGAAGCCCCGGCUAACUACGUGCCAGCAGCCGCGGUAAUACGUAGGGGGCAAGCGUUAUCCGUAUUUACUGGGUGUAAAGGGAGCGCAGGCGGGAAGCCAAGUAAGCUGUGAAAACUACGGGCUCAACCCCCGAACUGCAUUUGAAACUGUUGGUCGUGAGUAUCGGAGAGGCAGGCGGAAUUCCUGGUGUAGCGGUGAAAUGCGGAGAUAUUAGGAGGAACACCAGUGGCGAAGGCGGCCUGCUGGACGACAACUGACGGUGAGGCGCGAAAGCGUGGGGAGCAAACAGGAUUAGAUACCCUUGUAGUC